RNAcentral lists this ribosomal RNA (465 nucleotides) under Triticum aestivum (bread wheat). RNAcentral's name for it is "partial small subunit ribosomal RNA". Lineage: Eukaryota; Viridiplantae; Streptophyta; Magnoliopsida; Poales; Poaceae. The record is from RNAcentral.
AUGCGUGAUCUGGUCGGCGUCGACCUGGACGGCUUCCCCCUCGACCACGAGUUCUCGGACGACUACGGGCUAGAGGAAGAGGACGACUGCCACAUUGACGUGGAGCCUUUGUUCGAGGACGAGCUCACCAACCAAGCCGCCGGUCCUAAGCCCAAGCGCAAGAGCAAGCGUACGAAGGCGUACACGGCGGCCGAAGACAAGUUUCUUUGCGAGUGUUGGCGAGACAUUGGACAAGACCCGAAGACGGGCGCCGAGCAAAAGCAUUCGAACUUUUGGACUCGUGUGCACCGAGAGUUCCAUGAGUGCAAGAAGUUUCCACCUUACCAAUUUGUGAGCACGCGCGGGUGGGUCUCCAUUUCCAAGCGGUGGAGGGUGAUCCAACAAGAGUGCAACAAGUUUUGCGCCACCCUUGAGAGCUUCAAGGCCCGCCCCGUGAGCGGCAUCCGCAUGCAAGACAUGGUAUGA